Molecule: unclassified non-coding RNA, 253 nt
Filed under: uncultured Cytophagales bacterium
Lineage: Bacteria; Pseudomonadati; Bacteroidota; Sphingobacteriia; Sphingobacteriales
Description: contains 16S-23S intergenic spacer region
Rfam family: Bacterial small subunit ribosomal RNA
Source: RNAcentral
UACGUAGGUGGCAAGCGUUGUCCGGAUUUAUUGGGUUUAAAGGGUGCGUAGGCGGCCUAUUAAGUCAGUUCUGAAAUAUCCCGGCUUAACCGGGAGGGUGGGAUUGAUACUAAUGGGCUUGAGUGGACUCGAGGUAGGCGGAAUUGACGGUGUAGCGGUGAAAUGCUUAGAUAUCGUCAAGAACACCGAUAGUGUAGACAGCUUGCUAGAUUCUAACUGACGCUGAGGUACGAAAGUGUGGGGAUCAAACAGG